This 723-nucleotide ribosomal RNA is filed under the name uncultured bacterium. Its description in RNAcentral is "bacterial SSU rRNA". It matches the Rfam family "Bacterial small subunit ribosomal RNA", at positions 730 to 1451 of the family's 1533-position model. The record is from RNAcentral.
UGNUCUGUCACUGACGCUGAGGCUCGAAAGCGUGGGUAGCGAACAGGAUUAGAUACCCUGGUAGUCCACGCCGUAAACGCUGAGUGCUAGGUGUUAGGUCCUUUCCGGGACUUAGUGCCGACGCUAACGCAUUAAGCACUCCGCCUGGGGAGUACGACCGCAAGGUUGAAACUCAAAGGAAUUGACGGGGGCCCGCACAAGCGGUGGAGCAUGUGGUUUAAUUCGAAGCAACGCGAAGAACCUUACCAGGUCUUGACAUCCCGAUGCCCGCUCUAGAGAUAGAGUUUUUCUUCGGAACAUCGGAGACAGGUGGUGCAUGGUUGUCGUCAGCUCGUGUCGUGAGAUGUUGGGUUAAGUCCCGCAACGAGCGCAACCCUUAUUGUUAGUUGCCAUCAUUAAGUUGGGCACUCUAGCGAGACUGCCGGUAAUAAACCGGAGGAAGGUGGGGAUGACGUCAAAUCAUCAUGCCCCUUAUGACCUGGGCUACACACGUGCUACAAUGGUUGGUACAACGAGUCGCAAGCCGGUGACGGCAAGCUAAUCUCUGAAAGCCAAUCUCAGUUCGGAUUGUAGGCUGCAACUCGCCUACAUGAAGUCGGAAUCGCUAGUAAUCGCGGAUCAGCACGCCGCGGUGAAUACGUUCCCGGGCCUUGUACACACCGCCCGUCACACCACGAGAGUUUGUAACACCCAAAGUCGGUGAGGUAACCAUUUAUGGGNCCA